UACGUAGGGUGCAAGCGUUGUCCGGAAUCAUUGGGCGUAAAGAGCGUGUAGGUGGCUCGGUAAGUCCGCUGUGAAAGUCCAGGGCUCAACCCUGGAAAGCCGGUGGAAACUGUCGAGCUCGAGUCCGGAAGAGGCGAGUGGAAUUCCUGGUGUAGCGGUGAAAUGCGCAGAUAUCAGGAGGAACACCAAUGGCGAAGGCAGCUCGCUGGGACGGUACUGACACUGAGACGCGAAAGCGUGGGGAGCAAACAGG
This 253-nucleotide ribosomal RNA is filed under the name uncultured bacterium. Its description in RNAcentral is "partial 16S ribosomal RNA". It matches the Rfam family "Bacterial small subunit ribosomal RNA", at positions 524 to 776 of the family's 1533-position model. The record is from RNAcentral.